This 497-nucleotide ribosomal RNA is filed under the name uncultured bacterium. Its description in RNAcentral is "partial 16S ribosomal RNA". It matches the Rfam family "Bacterial small subunit ribosomal RNA", at positions 28 to 507 of the family's 1533-position model. The record is from RNAcentral.
GAUGAACGCUGGCGGCGUGCCUAAUACAUGCAAGUCGAGCGAACGGACGAGAAGCUUGCUUUUCUGAUGUUAGCGGCGGACGGGUGAGUAACAUGUGGAUAACCUACCUAUAAGACUGGGAUAACUUCGGGAAACCGGAGCUAAUACCGGAUAAUAUUUUGAACCGCAUGGUUCAAAAGUGAAAGACGGUCUUGCUGUCACUUAUAGAUGGAUCCGCGCUGCAUUAGCUAGUUGGUAAGGUAACGGCUUACCAAGGCAACGAUGCAUAGCCGACCUGAGAGGGUGAUCGGCCACACUGGAACUGAGACACGGUCCAGACUCCUACGGGAGGCAGCAGUAGGGAAUCUUCCGCAAUGGGCGAAAGCCUGACGGAGCAACGCCGCGUGAGUGAUGAAGGUCUUCGGAUCGUAAAGCUCUGUUAUUAGGGAAGAACAUAUGUGUAAGUAACUGUGCACAUCUUGACGGUACCUAAUCAGAAAGCCACGGCUAACUACGUG